CCACACGAUCGGAAAUGUGUGUCCAAGCAACAAGUCUGAGAACGAGUGAAAUGCUUUUUCUCUCAAGGACAAGUUGUGAUGGGGAGCGAAAUUUAGUAGCGAAGUUCCUGAUGUCACACUGCCAAGAAAAGCUUCUAGUGAGAAAGUAACUGCCCGUACCGCAAACGGACACAGGUAGUUGAGGAGAGAAUCCUAAGGCGUGCGAGAGAACUCUCGUUAAGGAACUCGGCAAAAUGACCCCGUAACUUCGGGAGAAGGGGUGCUGACCGCAAGGUCAGCCGCAGUGAAUAGGCCCAAGCGACUGUUUAUCAAAAACACAGGUCUCUGCAAAAUCGAAAGAUGACGUAUAGGGGCUGACGCCUGCCCGGUGCUGGAAGGUUAAGAGGAGAGGUUAGCGCAGGCGAAGCUUUGAAUUGAAGCCCCAGUAAACGGCGGCCGUAACGAUAACGGUCCUAAGGUAGCGAAAUUCCUUGUCGGGUAAGUUCCGACCCGCACGAAAGGCGUAACGAUUUGGGCACUGUCUCAACGAGAGACUCGGUGAAAUUAUAGUACCAGUGAAGAUGCUGGUUACCCGCGACAGGACGGAAAGACCCCAUGGAGCUUUACUGCAGUUUGAUAUUGCGUGUUUGUAUCACAUGUACAGGAUAGGUAGGAGCCAAUGAUACCGGGACGCCAGUCUCGGAGGAGGCAACGGUGGGAUACUACCCUUGUGAUAUGACCACUCUAACCCGCUGCUCUUAGCGAGCAGGGAGACAGUGUCAGACGGGCAGUUUGACUGGGGCGGUCGCCUCCAAAAAUGUAACGGAGGCGCCCAAAGGUUCCCUCAGAAUGGUUGGAAAUCAUUCGUAGAGUGUAAAGGCAGAAGGGAGCUUGACUGCGAGACCUACAAGUCGAGCAGGGACGAAAGUCGGGCUUAGUGAUCCGGUGGUUCCGCAUGGAAGGGCCAUCGCUCAACGGAUAAAAGCUACCCUGGGGAUAACAGGCUUAUCUCCCCCAAGAGUUCACAUCGACGGGGAGGUUUGGCACCUCGAUGUCGGCUCAUCGCAUCCUGGGGCUGUAGUCGGUCCCAAGGGUUGGGCUGUUCGCCCAUUAAAGCGGUACGCGAGCUGGGUUCAGAACGUCGUGAGACAGUUCGGUCCCUAUCCGUCGCGGGCGUUGGAAAUUUGAGAGGAGCUGUCCUUAGUACGAGAGGACCGGGAUGGACACACCGCUGGUGUACCAGUUGUUCUGCCAAGAGCAUCGCUGGGUAGCUAUGUGUGGACGGGAUAAACGCUGAAAGCAUCUAAGCGUGAAGCCCCCCUCAAGAUGAGAUUUCCCAUCACUUUAAGUGAGUAAGACCCCUGAGAGAUGAUCAGGUAGAUAGGUUGGGAGUGGAAGUACAGCGAUGUAUGGAGCGGACCAAUACUAAUCGGUCGAGGACUUAACCG
RNAcentral lists this ribosomal RNA (1427 nucleotides) under metagenome. RNAcentral's name for it is "bacterial LSU rRNA". It matches the Rfam family "Bacterial large subunit ribosomal RNA", at positions 1490 to 2925 of the family's 2925-position model. The record is from RNAcentral.